Molecule: ribosomal RNA, 253 nt
Filed under: uncultured bacterium
Lineage: Bacteria
Description: partial 16S ribosomal RNA
Rfam family: Bacterial small subunit ribosomal RNA
Source: RNAcentral
UACGGAGGGGGCUAGCGUUGUCCGGAAUUAUUGGGCGUAAAGAGCUCGUAGGCGGUUUGUCGCGUCGGCUGUGAAAACCCGGGGCUCAACCCCGGGCCUGCAUUCGAUACGGGCAGACUAGAGUUCGGUAGGGGAGUCUGGAAUUCCUGGUGUAGCGGUGAAAUGCGCAGAUAUCAGGAGGAACACCGGUGGCGAAGGCGGGACUCUGGGCCGAUACUGACGCUGAGGAGCGAAAGCGUGGGGAGCAAACAGG